Molecule: long non-coding RNA, 324 nt
Filed under: Vitis vinifera (wine grape)
Lineage: Eukaryota; Viridiplantae; Streptophyta; Magnoliopsida; Vitales; Vitaceae
Description: long non-coding RNA (VVIN_LNC005835)
Source: RNAcentral
UUGAUUAUUUUCUUCAAGAUAUGUAUAUUUCAGCUCCACAGGUAAAGGCUUCAGAUUGAAUUUUGGAAUUUCUUCUUCAACAGCUGCCUCCUCUUUUUCACUGAACAAAGGUAAAAUUCCUUCUAUCUUUCUCCACCUUUGUAGAGUAGCAAGCCCAAUAGGAGAUUCAGAAAAACCUUCCUCAAUAUCCUCAAGACUUUCACUCAACUUGUCUUGCAUAUGUUGAUUGCAGUGCUCCUCCACCAAAGUAUCAAUUAUACAUAGCUCUUCUGGUCCUUCUUCUUCUUCUGGAGUGAUUUGCUUUUUAGACAUAUAGAAAAUAUU